UACGUAGGUGGCAAGCGUUGUCCGGAUUUAUUGGGUUUAAAGGGUGCGUAGGCGGUCUUAUAAGUCAGUGGUGAAAUACGGCAGCUCGACUGUCGAGGUGCCAUUGAUACUGUAGGACUUGAGUACAGACGAGGUAGGCGGAAUUGACGGUGUAGCGGUGAAAUGCUUAGAUAUCGUCAAGAACACCGAUAGCGAAGGCAGCUUACUAGGCUGUAACUGACGAUCAGGCACGAAAGCGUGGGGAUCAAACAGG
This 253-nucleotide ribosomal RNA is filed under the name uncultured bacterium. RNAcentral's name for it is "partial 16S ribosomal RNA". It matches the Rfam family "Bacterial small subunit ribosomal RNA", at positions 524 to 776 of the family's 1533-position model. The record is from RNAcentral.